This is a long non-coding RNA of Vicia villosa (hairy vetch), 653 nucleotides long. RefSeq lists it as uncharacterized. Lineage: Eukaryota; Viridiplantae; Streptophyta; Magnoliopsida; Fabales; Fabaceae. The record is from RefSeq and is a predicted model, not a curated record. The transcript is spliced from 3 exons.
UAAAACACUCUUCUCUCUACUGCUUUUUUUCAUUUCUUUUUAUUUGCAAAGAGAUAAUGAAAACAAAUUAAGUUUUGAUAAGAGUUGAAAGAAAAUUAUAAACCUUCACUUAUAGAAAUAUUCAAGUAAGAAUCUCAAGAAAAGUGGUGAAUUAAAGUUGAUCCAUGAGUUAUGGUGGAGCUUCAUAUCUAGUUUUUAUGGUUGAAAGUGUGAACUAGAUAGAAACCUCGUCGAGAGAGGCAGAUCGUUCUCAUGUAGCGUAAGUUGAAUGUGUUUGAAGCUUGCUAAGGCUGAACGCCCCCAGGUUGUUAGGAAUCGUGAUAAUUAGGGUAUCCAGGUGUCGUGAAGACUUGCAAGAUGUGUAUGUCUUUGGAGAUCGAAAUCAUCAAGACUCAAUGGCAUAGUGAGUCAUUUGUACUAAGUCAUCCUUGGCUUUCAAUUCAAGGUCAACUUAGGGGUUGUUGUUGACGUCAUUGUUUGCUCUUCCUUACUGUUUUCUCUGUAACUUGUAUUGUGAAAAACCCUGUUUAUUUAUUUGUUAAAAUAAAUAUUGUCAUUAUGUUCUUUUUGACAAUAUGUUUGAUUUGUGUUCUUAAACCUUUAAUUGAGAAAAAAAUUUAUAAAAGAGGCCUUGUGUUAUGAUCAUUGUCUUA